Molecule: ribosomal RNA, 75 nt
Filed under: Triticum dicoccoides
Lineage: Eukaryota; Viridiplantae; Streptophyta; Magnoliopsida; Poales; Poaceae
Description: rRNA SSU_rRNA_eukarya
Source: RNAcentral
CCUAUCAACGUUCGAUGGUACGAUAGGGGCCUACCAUGGUGGUGACAGGUGACGGAGAAUUAGGGUUCGAUUCCA